This 459-nucleotide ribosomal RNA is filed under the name uncultured bacterium. Its description in RNAcentral is "partial 16S ribosomal RNA". It matches the Rfam family "Bacterial small subunit ribosomal RNA", at positions 338 to 795 of the family's 1533-position model. The record is from RNAcentral.
CCUACGGGUGGCAGCAGUGAGGAAUAUUGGUCAAUGGGCGCGAGCCUGAACCAGCCAAGUCGCGUGAGGGAAGACGGUCCUAUGGAUUGUAAACCUCUUUUGUCGGGGAGCAAAAGACGCCACGCGUGGCGUUCCGCGAGUACCCGAAGAAAAAGCAUCGGCUAACUCCGGGCCAGCAGCCGCGGUAAUACGGAGGAUGCGAGCGUUAGCCGGAUUUAUUGGGUUUAAAGGGUGCGCAGGCGGAAGAUCAAGUCAGCGGUAAAAUUGAGAGGCUCAACCUCGUCGAGCCGUUGAAACUGGUUUUCUUGAGUGAGUGAGAAGUAUGCGGAAUGCGUGGUGUAGCGGUGACAUGCAUAGAUAUCACGCAGAACUCCGAUUGCGAAGGCAGCAUACCGGCGCUCAACUGACGCUCAUGCACGAAAGUGUGGGUAUCGAACAGGAUUAGAUACCCGGGUAGUC